ACCAUGCAGUCGAGCGCACCUUCGGGUGAGCGGCGGACGGGUUAGUAACGCGUGGGAACGUACCCUUUUCUGCGGGAUAGCCUUGGGAAACUGAGAGUAAUACCGCAUACGCCCUUCGGGGGAAAGAUUUAUCGGAGAAGGAUCGGCCCGCGUUAGAUUAGAUAGUUGGUGGGGUAAUGGCCUACCAAGUCUACGAUCUAUAGCUGGUUUUAGAGGAUGAUCAGCAACACUGGGACUGAGACACGGCCCAGACUCCUACGGGAGGCAGCAGUGGGGAAUCUUAGACAAUGGGCGCAAGCCUGAUCUAGCCAUGCCGCGUGUGUGAUGAAGGCCUUAGGGUCGUAAAGCACUUUCGCCAGAGAUGAUAAUGACAGUAUCUGGUAAAGAAACCCCGGCUAACUCCGUGCCAGCAC
Molecule: ribosomal RNA, 413 nt
Filed under: Roseobacter sp. SJ1815
Lineage: Bacteria; Pseudomonadati; Pseudomonadota; Alphaproteobacteria; Rhodobacterales; Roseobacteraceae
Description: bacterial SSU rRNA
Rfam family: Bacterial small subunit ribosomal RNA
Source: RNAcentral